UAACUUACCUGGCGCUGGGUUUAGGGUAAUUGAGAAUGCCUUGACCCCGAGUAGAGGCUCACCAUUGUACGACGGUGGGUUGAAACUCGCGACGUACCCUAAUCGGAUGCGCUCGGGCGUGUAGUUUUGGCAGUUGGAAGGCCUCCCGGUCCUCCCUU
RNAcentral lists this small nuclear RNA (158 nucleotides) under Trichobilharzia regenti. Its description in RNAcentral is "U1 spliceosomal RNA". It matches the Rfam family "U1 spliceosomal RNA". Rfam says of the family: U1 is a small nuclear RNA (snRNA) component of the spliceosome (involved in pre-mRNA splicing). Its 5' end forms complementary base pairs with the 5' splice junction, thus defining the 5' donor site of an intron. There are significant differences in sequence and secondary structure between metazoan and yeast U1 snRNAs, the latter being much longer (568 nucleotides as compared to 164 nucleotides in human). Lineage: Eukaryota; Metazoa; Platyhelminthes; Trematoda; Strigeidida; Schistosomatidae. The record is from Rfam by way of RNAcentral.